GAAUGCUCUGGAUUUUAAAACCUCUAAUAUAAUAUUUAAAAUUAAAUGGAUGCAAAACUAUUUAAGAAAUAAGGAUUGCAUCUGGAAUAUCAUCCCAAAUUUAAUAUUCCAACAAAUUGGUGGUCUAGAAUUCUUACUCAAAUGCAACUUUGAUGUGGGUAAAAUCCCUAUUAAGCUUGCAAACUUUCAUAAACAAGUACUUCUAACUUGGAACCUCAUGUACAAACACCAUUUUUCCCCUAAUAGGUAUACAAUCUGGAAUAAUAAAGACAUAAAAUACAAAAACAAGUCUUGGUUUUUCCAGAACUGGUUUGACAAUAACAUUAUUUGGGUUAAACAAUUACUGAACAAUGAUGGACAACUAUAUGAUUAUCCAGAAUGUAUUAGAACACACAAUGUUACAUUCACUCCUGAGGAGUAUCACAUUGUUGUUAGAGCUGUCCCUAAAGGUGCUAUUCUUCUUUUAGGAGGAUAUAACAAUACUCCAAGUGCAACUGUUGAGGAUUUUGUAGCCUCAAUACAAUUAGAAGGAAUUGACAUUUUAAACUAAUAAUGUAAUAACAUAUAUAUAAGGAAACUAUGUCAAUAUGUUACUAUUCCCUCUGCUAAAAUGUACUGGACUGCAGCCCUAGGAUAAGUGAACUGGAACAAAGUUUUGUUGUUAUCUGGUAAAUAUUGUAUAUCUAAUAAGGUGAAAGAAGUAUCAUACAAACUCAUUCAUAGAAUCUACCCUGUAAAGACCUUUAUUAUACAUAGAUUCAAAAUAGCUAUUGAUAACAAAUGUGUAUUUUGUGAUUGUGACCCAGAUACUCUUGACGAUUUAUUUUGGGACUGCUCUUAUGUCAGAAGAUUUUGGUGUGAGUUAGAAUAUUUUAUUUUAAAAGAAACAACUAUUAAUGUUAAUUUGAAAGACUCUGAUAUUAUGUUUUUUUUUUACCAAAUUAUAUGGACCCUGAUUUAACUUUUAUUGUUCAUUUGUUUAUCUUUCAUGGAAGAUUCUUUAUCCAUAAAAUGAAGUGGGCAGAGAACAAACCCCUUUUCACAUUAUUUAAGAUAGAAUUGAAAUAUUAUUUUCAAAUUAUCAGUAAAUUUAAAACCAAAAAAGCAAUACGCACCAUAAAAGUAUUUAACAAAUUGAAAAUGAAUCUUGAUAUGUAAUACCCCUGUCUGUUAGGUUCAUGUACACUUGUUUGUAUAUUUCAGUUUUUUUGUAUUUGUUGUGUACAUAAUAAAAAUGUAUAAAUGUUUUUUUAUAAAUAAAUAAAUAGAAUAAAAACUUCUGUUGUUCAGAGGUAAAAUGAGCUACCUAGUUAACAAGGGCAGCCCAAUGUCUCUAAAAUUGUAAAUGUACCAUCUCUGAUUGCACCAGACUGCUGCUCACGGACAGAAGAGAUGGACUUCAACCAUCAAUAGCCAGGCUAGAGACCAUGUUGUGGAGCCUUCGGUGGACAAGCGGUCAUUUGAUUGAUGAAGAGAUGGCCAGCAAUCUAAUUGCUGUUGCAGAGGAGUUCCUACAAGAGGCAAAUGACAUCCAACAACGGGAACCUUACGAAAAUGGCAAGUUGUUAUAUUAUAUUAUAUUAUAUUAUAUUAUAUUGUAUCAUUUCUUUUGUACAGCAUGUGUGGCAAAGGCUGAGAUUGUAUCCUUUUACAUGUCCUGUGUUAAGUCUCCUGUGUCAAGUCAAUCAAUGAAAAAAACAUUUGGUUGGCCUAUAAUUCUGUUUUUAAAUUCUAUAUGGUGAUCUUAUAGUCUUUUAACCUAAAGUUUUUAGGAGUGUAUUUUGUUAUUAUCUAUUGUAUUUUUUAUUUCAGUAUCCUAUCAAGCGCCUUUGGAGGGAAGGCGGUAUCACAUCACCAAGGAGCAGCUUGAGUUCCUCAUAGAUUGUCAUAUGAUGUAACGCCCUGGCCAUAGAGAGGGGUUUUUUGUUCUUUAUUUUGGUUAGGCCAGGGUGUUACAUUGGGUGGGCGUUCUAUGUUCUGUUUCUAUGUGUUUGUAUUUCUUUGUUUUGGGCUGUGUGUGGCUCCCAAAUCAGGCACAGCUGAAGUUCGUUGCUGUUGAUUGGGAGUCACACAUAAGUGCAUGUUUUUCCGUUGGGGUUUUGUGGGUAAUUGUUUCUGUUCGUGUUACUGUGUUUAACGUGACAGGACUGUUUUGGUUGUCUGUUUAUUGUUUUGUUUUGUAUUGUAUAGUGUCCGUUUUCUCAAUUAAAUAUGACGAACACUAACUCCGCUGCGUUUUGGUCCGCUCUCUCUAAAGGCAACCGUUACAUAUGACCAUCAGACAAAUGGCAGAUGUUCUCAAUGUGUAGCACUCUGUGGUCUAGCGGCGCAUGAGGUGGAUGAUUGUUAUCCAUAGUGCUGUGGAUGGUUACAGCAGACUUGUUGUGUUUCUGAAGGCCUCUGACAACAACAGGACUGCCACAGUCAUGGAGUCAUUCGAAGCAGCCAUCACCAGCUACGGAGUACCAUCCCGGGUGAGAUGUGACCGGGUGGUGAAAACAACCGCAUCUGUGCCUUCAUGGAGCAGUUCAGGGGUGGUGAGAGGGGAAGUGCCCUCAGAGGAAGGAGCACUCACAACCAGAGGAUAGAGUGGCUGUGGGGGACGUCUGGCAUGGAGUCUCCAACGUUUACCAUGACCUGUUCACCUUCUUGGACGGAGCAGAUCAUCGACAUCAACAAUGAGGUGCACCUGUGGACACUGCACUUUGUGUUCCUGCCACGGGUGAACAGAGAUCUUGCUGUGUUUGCCAGUCAGUGGAACCACCAUGGGCUGAGGACUGAACAACGGCAGUCACCUCUGCAGUUGUUCGUCUCGGGUUCCCUGGCAAUGCAGAGGGCCAAUCUGACAGCAACCCAAACGGCGUUCCAUACAGUGAACCCAGCGGAGAGACGGGAGCUGCGGCAGAACGAAAAGAAGAGGGAGGGUCUCCUCAGCCCAGCAGAGAAGUGGUCUCAGCUCCAGAAAGGCACCCACCACAGAGAGAGAAUGGAGGAUGAGGCCUGAUGAUCGGAGGAUCUCCUCCCUCUGCACAGUGAUGCUAGCUGCUGAGAGAAUCCCCUCCCUCUGUGAAGGGACACUGGCUGUUUGGAGGAUUCCCUCCCUCUGUGAAGGUACACUGGCUGUUUGGAGGAUACCCUCCCUCUGUGACAGGAUGAGGCCUGAUGCUUGGACGAUCUCCUCCCUCUGCACAGCAACUUCGGCUGCUGUGAUGAUCUGCAGGUAUGAUAUAGCGCAUAUAGUCAUUCCCUAAAACGCAAUAGGAAGGUUUUCUUAAUGUUUUGUUCACUCAGUGUAGAUCAAUCCCUAGCAUAUACAUUCAUUUGUAUGUGUACUGAUGAUGUAAAUACCCAAAUUAUAUUAAUGUUAUCUACAAUAUAUUAUAAUACCGUAAGCCUUCCUGCUGCAUGGGCAUUUCCUCCUACAAUUUUGAGCUGAUUUUCUUCACUUUACCAAUAUUUUGUAACUUUGUUAAUUUUCACAUUUAUUGUGUUUGGAAUGGCACUGUUACUACAGCAUUUGAUGUAAGUAUGUCGGACAAUUAAUUGAAAUCAUCAUUCCAUAACGACUUAGCGAGUCAGAAAUGUCAGAAUUUCCUAGUUCCGACUUGAAGGGCCUUCAAUGAUGUAGGGCAGGUCAGUAAUCAAAUUAUUUUACUGUGCCCAGUCGCACACAGACUUUUAUGAUCACACGAGUUGCCACCGGUGGAUUCAAAAUGAGUAGCCUAACAAUUAUUUACAUGGCCCCAGGUACAUUCGCAAACAAAUUAUUUUUCUGUGAGAAAUCAAUAAUAGUUGCA
This 3797-nucleotide long non-coding RNA is filed under the name Salmo salar (Atlantic salmon). RNAcentral describes it as "lncRNA (ENSSSAG00000089294.1)". The record is from RNAcentral. Lineage: Eukaryota; Metazoa; Chordata; Actinopteri; Salmoniformes; Salmonidae.